Molecule: non-coding RNA, 1417 nt
Organism: Microcebus murinus (gray mouse lemur)
Lineage: Eukaryota; Metazoa; Chordata; Mammalia; Primates; Cheirogaleidae
Source: RefSeq, a predicted model, not a curated record
GCGCCUCCCGAGCCGAGCCGAGCCGGCGCCCGCGCGGACCCCCGGGACGCGGCCUGGAGCUGCAGUCGCCUUCGGGGGCCGCUGUCACCCGCAGACCCGGAGCCCUUGGGCGGAGGGAAGGGCCCCGACUCGCCGUGCCAGGUGGGCAGGCCUUCCCCACGGAAUUAAAUGCGCCUCAACCGAAAUCCCGGCGCGCCGCCUCCCUCUGCCCCACACGGAGCUCGCAGCAGCGUUUUAAGAUCUUUGUGGUGAACCGAGACCAGACAUUCAUCUGUGAACCUGCCACCGAAACAGUGGCUGUUGCAGUCAUCCAGAUGAGACGGAUGAUAGUGUGAACAAAGCCAAUGAUAGUGCACAUGGAGCAGAAGGAACAGAUGCAGGACUUACUGUGGCCAUAAAAGUGGAAUAAUUUAGCAACCAAUGGGACAUGAUUGAGUUAGAGGGUGCCUUUUGGGGUCCUCUGGACCUUCUACAAUAGCCCCUAAAGUGGCCAUCUAUCCUCUGCUUGAAUGGCUGGUGACAGAGUGCUCAAAUUUGAGGAGGAGCUAAACACACUGUUGGGUGACUCAUUCUCAAGUCCUGCACCUACAGAAGGCCUCCGUAAUGAAUCAAAUUUGCCUCCUUGUAAAUUCCACCUGGUAAUAGAAAUGCUACCUCCUAGUGCUUCACAUCCCUAGUCUAACUCCUGUUAGACUUAAAGCCCUCCAGAUACUUGAUGGUGGCUCUCAUGUCCUUCUGAAGACUUCUGUUCCUCAGAAUAUGCUGUUCUGGUUACUGAUAUUGUAUAAUAAAUCCCCCCACAAAAUUUAGCAUCUUAAAACGGCAACAAUCAUAUAAUCUCUCACAGUUUCUGUGGGUUGGGAUGGGAAUGUGAGAAGGGCUCUUAUAGGGAGUUCUGGCUCUAGUUCCAUCAUGAGAUUGCAAUCAGAUGGUGGUUGAAGCUGGGACAGUAGGGAGCUGGGGUAGCUGAGUUGGCCAGGCCUUUCUCUCUCUCUCUCUCUCUCUCUCUCUCUCUCUCUCUCUCUCUCUCUCUCUCUCUGUUGUCUCAAGAUUUCUCCAUAUGGUCUUUCUGCAGGAGUAGGCUUGGGCUUCCUCCCAGCAUGGUGGCUGCGUUCCAAGAGUGAGCAUUCCAAGCACACCAGCAGAAGCUAUAUCAUAUCAUCUUUUAUGACCUAACCUCAGAAGUCCUAUAGUGUUACUUCUGCCGUAGUUACGAGCCCUCCCAGAUUCAAGGGGAGGACCAUAGAUAGCCCUCUUAUCUCGAUGGGGGGAAUGUCAAAGUUAUAUCAUGUCUGGUGGGGCAUACUGUUGCCACCCUUUUUGAAAAGUACAGUCCACCACAUAACACGUUCCUUUAACUGUCCUGGCCAUCCUCCACUGACAACAUGUUAUAAUAAAGUCUUAGGAAUUGGAUAAG